CCUACGGGAGGCUGCAGUGGGGAAUAUUGCACAAUGGGGGAAACCCUGAUGCAGCGACGCCGCGUGAGCGAUGAAGUAUCUCGGUAUGUAAAGCUCUAUCAGCAGGGAAGAAGAUGACGGUACCUGACUAAGAAGCCCCGGCUAACUACGUGCCAGCAGCCGCGGUAAUACGUAGGGGGCAAGCGUUAUCCGGAUUUACUGGGUGUAAAGGGAGCGUAGACGGCGAUGCAAGCCAGAUGGGAAAGCUCGGGGCUCAACCCCGGGACUGCAUUUGGAACUGUGUGGCUGGAGUGUCGGAGAGGCAGGCGGAAUGCGUAGUGUAGCGGUGAAAUGCGUAGAUAUUAGGAGGAACACCAGUGGCGAAGGCAGCCUGCUGGACGAUGACUGACGUUGAGGCUCGAAAGCGUGGGGAGCAAACAGGAUUAGAUACCCCUGUAGUC
This 440-nucleotide ribosomal RNA is filed under the name uncultured bacterium. Its description in RNAcentral is "partial 16S ribosomal RNA". It matches the Rfam family "Bacterial small subunit ribosomal RNA", at positions 338 to 795 of the family's 1533-position model. The record is from RNAcentral.